Molecule: long non-coding RNA, 6456 nt
Organism: Hemicordylus capensis (graceful crag lizard)
Lineage: Eukaryota; Metazoa; Chordata; Lepidosauria; Squamata; Cordylidae
Exons: 2
Source: RefSeq, a predicted model, not a curated record
CAUUGUCCCUGGACCUGCCAGCUCCAAGCUGCACUCCCAGACAUUGCCGGAGCCAUCUCUCCGCCCCACUCCCUGAGCACAGCUUCACUGCAGCAGGAGGGGCCUUGGGCCUUUUAUUUAUUUAAUCUUUUUUCGGUUUGGUGGAUGAAUCAAAAGCUCACGUGAAAGCAAAUUUGGCAAGGACUGGAGUCGGUGUAGUCAGACACACACACAGCUUUGCCAACUCUCCUCAGUCCUCAGCCAUAGCCCACCCCCUCCCCCCAGCGCUCCCUGCACGAUUCCAGCCCUUGACCCUCUCCCCCCCCUCCCCAUCUCCACCACUCACAACACAAAGUGAGCCUCACUAAAAGGGAAGCCAUUUUCGCAAAGGCUGGCCACAUUUGAAACAGGAAAGGGCCGGAGCCAAACUGGGGCCCUUGCUGCAGGGGAAUGGCUGGCAAGUGCUGGAGGGUGUGGGGAAAGAGCUUAUUCUGCUUUGGUGCUGGGCUCCUCUCAGAAUCCCCCACAGCACAGAACAUGGCCACGGUGUCCUCACCACAUGGUGCAGGAAGAAGCCAGCGGCCAUGUUCCCAGUUACGGGGAAAUUUAAAACUCUGCUGUGGCAGCCUGCCCAGUCGGAGGAACAGAACGGCUAUGCCUGUUAUGCCAUAGAAGACUGCACAUAUGGAAUUAGUGGGACGGGACAGGGAAGGGGUUUCCUCCCUCCAUGUGCCUUUUUGAGUGCAGGCAGUGGAGGGAGUGGUGCUUAUGGAAAUCGGGGAGGGCAGGGCUCACAGCCUCCAGCCAGUUUCAGCCAUUUUGUUAUUUUGAGAGAUCGACGUCCUGACAGCACAGCAAAUACAAGUUCACAGUGAUGUUUUAGGGCCAGUAAUGAAGCCAAUGUGUGCUCGGGGUCACUUGAGUUGCACCCUGGUGUUCUCUGGGAUAUUACAAAAGGGGUCUAGAGUGGAGGGAGUGAGCCUACAAAAGGUGCUGGGGUAUACCUCUGAGAUUCUUUGGGGGCAGCCAGUUGGAAAGACAAAAUGUUUUGGCCAGGCCAGCACCUUUAACCAAUGAGCAAUCUCAAGGAUUCCCAAAGCAGGGGUAGGACCUAGUCAAGGCCUAGGGUGUCCCACCAUUGGAAGAAAGUGGGACAAAUCCUAGAGGGUAGCAUAAAUCUGCUGCCUCUGGUCUCCGUGGCACUUCAGGCCUCUCCAUACCAUCUGCUUUUCUGUGUCCUAAAUUGAGCCAGGCAAGGAUCCUGCUUCCUGGCCCAAAGUCCAAAAUAGGGUUGGCUUUGUCUGGGUUCUUGUGCUAAAGGGUUCACUUUGGAGGAGACGGACGGAAGGGUUGUGGGUAUUUUUUUGUAAUUUGGAUUGAGUGUUUGUAUGUGAAAAGGGGAAUGUUGCAAAGAGGAGAACUAAAACUCCUCGUUGAAUGGGCAUUUGUGCUUGAAAGAAGGAGAGGUGAGGGAGAGGUCUCUGUCUCUCAGGUCUAAAUCUAGCCCAGGUUGUUUUGUGGUUGGGGGCAGAAUGGGGCUAUUAUUUAUACUCUCCCAGGGCUUUGCUCAUGGCAAACAGAAAUUUAAUCCUGCUUCUUGAACCGUCUUGCAAGCUAAUCCUAACAGUGUUUACUUAUCAAUUGUAAAUCCCAUUUAUUUCAAUUAUUUAUUAUUAAUUUUUUAAAAAAUUGUGUAGGGGUUCAGGGCAGUGGUGCUUCUAAUGAAGAUUAAUGAAGACCAGCUUAUGCUGUUGACUAUGAGGUCAAUGGUAAACCAAGCAUCAGUCACUGAUGAUCUUCUUACUUUGCUUUUAUCCCCAAGUCCUGGCUGGAGGAAGCUUCUCAUCCAGAUGGCCACAGCCAAGGACUGGUCUCAGCAACCAUCAAGGACUAUAGCAGAUUGGAUGACAUCAUCAUACAAAUAAGAUCUCACUAAGGACACUGUCCCUGGAGUCUCAGUGCAGGAUAGUUACUUCCAUCACUGACAAAGUUUGGACCUCUUUGGAUUGCAACUGUGGGGUCUUCCUGGAUACAUCACUGCCCCACUUACAGCGAUAGCCAGAACUGCUUUCUGCCAACUCCACCUGGUUAGAGAUCUGCCUUCAUAAUUUCAAGGCUAGACUUCUGUCUUCUCUACACUUCUUUGGUUUUAUUUUUUCUGGGUUCCAAUGAUCCAAUCAAAUCUUUAUCACACUCCUUCAGUAUUUCUGUUAGCAGUUCUCUCUCUUCCUCUUUCCAAUCAGCUUGGCAUUCCCCAGGUUCUGCCUUGAUUCCCUUGAUUUUUUACUUUAUAUGUUCUAUUAUUUACUCUUAUGGUAUCCAGUAUCAUUUCUUUGUUGAUGACCUUCAGUUCUACUGGUUUUUGCCUGAUUUUCUUCUUAAGCAAGGGCCACAACAGACCUGAUGCAGGAGAUUUAUAAUUGGUUCUCCCAGUGUUUUCAUUUUUACUUCAAAUCAGCCCCAGGGGAUGGGGAUGUGUUUCCAAUUUUGAGUGGAGCAGUGAUGCUGGAGAAGGGUCUGUUUAACCCUUUCUCCCACACAAUUUUCCUGAUCUAAAUUGUGAGGUUUGCCCUUUUCAAGCAAAGGAGAAAAUCCUACCUGCCUAAAAAUAACUCUCCUAAUGCGGACAGCGAGAGUGCACUGUGACAGUAGCGGCCCGGCUCCUCUGACCCCCCGGACCGGGUCCAGUGCUCCAGUGUAGCGUGGUUCUGGCCUCUGCACAUGUGAGGUGCCCUAUCUCCAUCCCCAUUAGGAGUUUUUUUUAGGCAGGUAGGGUUCCCCCUGUACAAGCAUGCCCCCUCAAGCCAAAUUGGACCAGUUCUGAACCGGUUCAGCCUAGUUUGAUCCUCAGACCAAACCAUGGGCCAGUUCAACUUGAAUUAGAGCCCAACUGCUGGAAUCAGUUCUGUGCACAUCCCUACUUCUUAUUGUCUUCUGAACUAAGUCCACAGUCCUGGUUAUUACGGUCUAUGCAACUGAACAGCUCCAGCUAAUCAGAAAUGAUUGUUUUCUUUUAUGUUAGAAGGUGAAAUACUUUCAUUUUUUUAAAACUCCAUAACCUUCUCCCAGAUUUGCACUCACUGAUUCUUGAUGAAUAUUCAUUUUAAGGGGUGGGGGAGGAAAGAGGGCAAACUUGGCACAGUGUGCCUACCCCCACUUUCACAUUAGAAGUUCGGGUGUGUGUGUCAGAUGUUUCCCACUGCUGACUGUAGAUGAACAACUGUGCCAGUACUAGACUUCCUAGUGUAUCUGAAUAUUAUUAUUAUUAUUAUUAUUGAAGCUUGCUCAAAGAAGGAUCUGAUAUCCCAAGAAUGUCAUAAUGAUAUGACAAGUCUGGCCAAGUUGAUGCUCUUAAUACGAUACUUAAUUAUUAGCUAAUUGCAAAAUGCAAGGAGUUACUUCUAUUACUACUACUAACAACAACAAUAAUAUUACUACACAUGUUUAUCCUAUACAGAAAUGUGAAAAGUUUUAAUAUAAAGCCAACCCUGCCCCCUCAAAGCAUACUAGUAAAUCAUUCUAUAGUGGCUGACACCCUGAGUAAUGAAGCACUUGCAGAAUGACGUUGUGCAAGCACAAAGCUUUUGCAACAGUGACUUGUGCUAAAUCUGGUGCUUCCAACUAGUAUUAUGCUUUGGCAAGCAUGCUCAUGCAACAGUUGCACAACUUGUGGCACACUUAAUUUAUUUAAAAGGUAAUUUUAAAAGGGACUGCUUUGGUCACCCUGUGAGAUGACAUGUGUAGAGAGAGAGACAGGGGGAGUACAACUCUGUUAAUUCUCUUAGACCUCUCAGUGGCUUUUGAUACCAUUAACCAUGGUAUCCUUUUGGAAAGGCUGGCCAAGUUGGAUGUGGGAGGCACUGCUUGGAGGUGAUUCCACUCCUACCUUGAGGUCUGUUUCCAAAAUAUGGUGCUAGGGGACUACUGCUGAACACCUUGGCAUUUCUGCUUUGCAGUUCUGCAUGGUUCCAUUCCACAGGGUUCCAUGCUUUGGGGUUCCACAGGGUUCCCUAUGCUGUUUAACAUCUACAUGAAAUUGCUGGGAGAGGUCAUCAGGAGAUUUGGCCUGAGGUGUCAUCAGUAUGCGGAUGAUACUCAGUUGUAUCUCUCUUGAUACAAUAUGAUACUCAGUUGUAUCUCACCCCUGCUGACUUGGCAAAGAGGCACCUUUUAAAAUGGUGAUUCUCUUUAUUUAGCGGUGGAGGAGUAACUGGCCCUGUCCACCCCCAGCACAGUACCUCGGGUGACUGUUGCUGGUGUCUACCUUAUGUUUCUUUUUCGAUUGUGAGCCCUUUGGGGACAGGGAUCCAUCUUAUUUGUUUGUUAUUUCUCUGUGUAAACUGUGUAAAUUGAAUAAAAAACAACAUCAAUAAUAAUAAUUUUUCAUCAGACGCAGGUGAGGCAGUUGACUGCCCUGAAUCAGUGCCAGGAUGCAGUAAUGGACUGGAUGAGGGUGAACAAGUUGCAACUCAGUCCAGACAAGACAUAAGUACUGUUGGCCGGUGGUUCCUCUGCCCAUGUGAAUGAUGUUCAGCCUAUUCUCGAUGGAGUUGCGCGCACCACAAAUACACACACAACCCCCGAAGGACCAGGUUCACCAUCUGGAGGUGCUCAUCAAUCCAGCACUGUCUCUAUAGAGCAGGCCUGCUCAACUUCGGCCCUCCUGCAGAUGUUGGCCUACAAUUCCCAUAAUUCCUGGCUAUUGGCUGCUGUGGCUGAGAAUUAUGGGAGUUGUAGUCCAAAAACAGCUGGGGGGCCUAAGUUGAGCAGGCCUGCUAUAGAGGCUCAAGUGGCCUCUGUGGCUUAGAGUGCCUUUUAUCAGCUUCAGCUGAUACACCAGAUGUGACCAUACAUUGAUAGAGAUAUCUUGGCCACUGUUACUCAGGCUCUGGUAACCUCUUGCUUAGAUUACUGCAAUGUAUUGUAUUUGGGGCUGCCUUUGAAAAUGGUCCAGAAACUGCAGUUGCUACAAAACAGGGAUGCAAGAUUAUUAACUGGGACUGGACGUUUUGGGCAUAUUACGCCAGUGCUUCGUCAGCUGCACUGGCUCCCAGUCUGUUUCUGGGCCCAGUUCAAAGUACUGGUUCUAACCUUUAAAGCCCUAAAUGGCUUUGGACCAGGUUACCUGAGAAAGAGAGCCUUGCCCCAUUUGUCCUGACUUGGACCUUAAGAACUUCUCCGGAGGCCCUCCUCCAGGUGCCCCUACCGAAUGAGGUGAGGUGGGUGGCUACUAGGGAGAGGGCAUUUUUGGUGGUUGCACCCUGUUUAUGGAACAGCCUCCCCAGUGAGGUUCAUCUGGCAUCAUUACUUUGUUCUUUUAGAUGUCAGGUAGAGACCUUUCUGUUCACUCAAGCCUUUUAAAUUUGAUUUUUAAAACUGACUUUUAAAAAUUAAUUAAUUAAUUAUUGUUAUUGUUAUUAUUUUGGUGUGUUGUGAUUUCUUGUGUUUUAUGCAUUUUUACUCUAUGAGGCUAUUCACACACGCUUGCAAAACUGGGCUAAGGGAGUCCAGCCCAGUUUUGCAUGCACGUGUGGACUGCCAGAAUAGGACCCAAUCCCAGUGGCUACAUGGAGGCAAACCCACCUAAUUAGCUCCCUUCAGAAUGAGGUUAAAGGAGGGAGUGCUCCCUUAACCUCAUUUUUCUGCUUGUGUGUCAGCCAUGGCUGCUUGCAGCCACGGCUGGCACACUCAGGGGUGAGGAGGGAUCCCAAUAAUGCACCACACGGUACAUUAUUGGAGCUUUGGGGGGCUGGGGGGCUUCCCUGCACCCUGACCCUCAGAGCUGCAGAGGGAGCUGCUGCUCACCCGGACAGGGAAGGAAAGGGGAUCAUCUGUAGGGAGGGUGAGUGUAACCCGCUGUCCCUGCAGAUCGCCCUAGAGUUCUUCUCAUCGAUCGUGAGAAGAGCUCCAAAGUUUUAAUGCUGUGUUGUGAACCACCCAGAGAAUAAUUUGUUAUGAGGUGGCUAAUAAAUAAAGUAUAAUAAUAAUAAUAAUAAUAAUAAUAAUAAUAAUAAUAAUAAUGGGUGGCUAAUAAUAAAGUUAUUAAAUAAUAAUAAUUAUUAUUAUUUAUUAAUUAUUAUUGUUGUUGCUGUUGUUAAUAAACAAGACCAAAAUAAUCCCCGUGGUAAUUGGCGCCCUAGGUGCAAUUCCAAAACAACUUGAAGAGCACCUCAACACCAUAGGGGCCACAGAAAUCAGCACCAGCCAAUUACAAAAAGCAACUUUACUGGGAACAGCCUAUAUUCUGCGACGAUAUCUAUAAUAAUAACAGCAACAACAUUGACAAUAAAAUUCAGCCAACCCAGGUCCUUGGGAAGGACUUGAUGUCUGGAUAAAACAAACCAGUCAAUAACAUCUGUCUGACUGUGUAAAUUAAUAAUAAUAUGGGGUGGAUAAUAAGAAAGUUAUUAAAUAAUAAUAAUUUAUUUAUUAUUGUUGUUGUUGCUGUUGUUAAUAAACUUUUGUUCACAAGUGCUA